This 421-nucleotide ribosomal RNA is filed under the name uncultured bacterium. RNAcentral describes it as "bacterial SSU rRNA". It matches the Rfam family "Bacterial small subunit ribosomal RNA", at positions 356 to 774 of the family's 1533-position model. The record is from RNAcentral.
GAGGAAUAUUGGGCAAUGCCCGCAAGGGUGACCCAGCAACGCCGCGUGGAGGAUGAAUGUCGUAAGAUUGUAAACUCCUGUUAGAGGGGAAGAAUAGUACCGGUUGGACCGGUAUAUGACUGUACCCUCAGAGAAAGCCCCGGCUAACUACGUGCCAGCAGCCGCGGUAAUACGUAGGGGGCAAGCGUUGUCCGGAUUUACUGGGUGUAAAGGGCGCGCAGGCGGGAUAAAAAGUCAGUGGUGAAAUCCUACAGCUUAACUGUAGAACUGCCUUUGAUACUUUUAUUCUGGAGUUCGGGAGAGGGAGACGGAAUUCCAGGUGUAGUGGUGAAAUACGUAGAUAUCUGGAAGAACACCAGUUGCGAAGGCGGUCUCUUGGUCCGACACUGACGCUGAGGCGCGAAAGCGUGGGGAGCAAACA